CUCUUAUCGAGAGCGGCGGAGGGAUUAGGCCCGAUGAAGCCCGGCAACCUACAGGCAGUUUCUGCUUGGAAAGGUGCUACAUCCUACAGGCUCAAUGAGUCUGGAAGAUAAGAG
This 114-nucleotide non-coding RNA is filed under the name Bacillus sp. (in: firmicutes). RNAcentral describes it as "Bacillus sp. SAM-I sequence". It matches the Rfam family "SAM riboswitch aptamer (S box leader)". From Rfam's summary of the family: The SAM riboswitch is found upstream of a number of genes which code for proteins involved in methionine or cysteine biosynthesis in Gram-positive bacteria. The record is from RNAcentral. RNAcentral also lists the same sequence under 1 other name. Lineage: Bacteria; Bacillati; Bacillota; Bacilli; Caryophanales; Bacillaceae.